GACGAACGCUGGCGUCGUGCUUAACACAUGCAAGUCGAACGGAAAGGCCCUGCUUUUGUGGGGUGCUCGAGUGGCGAACGGGUGAGUAACACGUGAGUAACCUGCCCUUGACUUUGGGAUAACUUCAGGAAACUGGGGCUAAUACCGGAUAGGAGCUCCUGCUGCAUGGUGGGGGUUGGAAAGUUUCGGCGGUUGGGGAUGGACUCGCGGCUUAUCAGCUUGUUGGUGGGGUAGUGGCUUACCAAGGCUUUGACGGGUAGCCGGCCUGAGAGGGUGACCGGCCACAUUGGGACUGAGAUACGGCCCAGACUCCUACGGGAGGCAGCAGUGGGGAAUAUUGCACAAUGGGCGGAAGCCUGAUGCAGCAACGCCGCGUGCGGGAUGACGGCCUUCGGGUUGUAAACCGCUUUCGCUCAUGACGAAGCUUUGUGUGACGGUAGUGGGUAAAGAAGCACCGGCUAACUACGUG
Molecule: ribosomal RNA, 469 nt
Filed under: uncultured bacterium
Lineage: Bacteria
Description: partial 16S ribosomal RNA
Rfam family: Bacterial small subunit ribosomal RNA
Source: RNAcentral